AGCAUAUCAAUAAGCGGAGGAAAAGAAACUAACAAGGAUUCCCCUAGUAACUGCGAGUGAAGCGGGAAAAGCUCAAAUUUAAAAUCUGGUGGUCUUUGGCCAUCCGAGUUGUAAUCUAGAGAAGUGUUACCCGCGUCGGACCGUGUACAAGUCUCCUGGAAUGGAGCGUCAUAGAGGGUGAGAAUCCCGUCUUUGACACGGACUACCGAGGCUUUGUGGUGCGCUCUCAAAGAGUCGAGUUGUUUGGGAAUGCAGCUCAAAAUGGGUGGUAAAUUCCAUCUAAAGCUAAAUAUUGGCGAGAGACCGAUAGCGAACAAGUACCGUGAGGGAAAGAUGAAAAGAACUUUGGAAAGAGAGUUAAACAGUACGUGAAAUUGCUGAAAGGGAAACGCUUGAAGUCAGUCGCGUUGGCCGGAAAUCAGCCUUGCUUUUGCAUGGUGUACUUUCUGGUUGACGGGCCAGCAUCAGUUUUGACCGGUGGAAAAAGUCCAGAGGAAGGUGGCAUCUUCGGAUGUGUUAUAGCCUCUGGUCGUAUACAUCGAUUGGGACUGAGGAACUCAGCACGCCGAAAGGCCGGGUCUUUGACCACGUUCGUGCUUAGGAUGCUGGCAUAAUGGCUUUAAUCGACCCGUCUUGAAACACGGACCAAGGAGUCUAACAUGCCUGCGAGUGUUUGGGUGGAAAACCCGAGCGCGUAAUGAAAGUGAAAGUUGAGAUCCCUGUCAUGGGGAGCAUCGACGCCCGGACCAGAAGUUUUCUGACGGCCCUGCGGUAGAGCAUGUAUGUUGGGACCCGAAAGAUGGUGAACUAUGCCUGAAUAGGGUGAAGCCAGAGGAAACUCUGGUGGAGGCUCGUAGCGAUUCUGACGUGCAAAUCGAUCGUCAAAUUUGGGUAUAGGGGCGAAAG
This 906-nucleotide ribosomal RNA is filed under the name Psathyrella ovispora. Its description in RNAcentral is "partial large subunit ribosomal RNA". It matches the Rfam family "Eukaryotic large subunit ribosomal RNA", at positions 37 to 929 of the family's 3401-position model. The record is from RNAcentral. Lineage: Eukaryota; Fungi; Basidiomycota; Agaricomycetes; Agaricales; Psathyrellaceae.